AUGAUGGUAUCACAUUGAAACUACUGGUUCCCAUACAAUCACUGAAAGUUAAGCAAUGUUGAGCCUGGUCGGUACCUAGAUGGGUGACUGCAUACGAAAACCAGGUGCUGCAAG
Acanthosepion pharaonis is the source of this 114-nucleotide non-coding RNA. The record is from the annotation of a GenBank genome assembly. Lineage: Eukaryota; Metazoa; Mollusca; Cephalopoda; Sepiida; Sepiidae.